CCUACGGGAGGCAACAGUGAGGAAUAUUGGUCAAUGGCCGGGAGGCUGAACCAGCCAAGUCGCGUGAGGGAAGACGGCCCUACGGGUUGUAAACCUCUUUUGUCAGGGAGCAAGGUGCAGGUCGGGACCUGCUGUGAGAGUACCUGAAGAAAAAGCAUCGGCUAACUCCGUGCCAGCAGCCGCGGUAAUACGGAGGAUGCGAGCGUUAUCCGGAUUUAUUGGGUUUAAAGGGUGCGCAGGCGGAGGCACAAGUCAGCGGUAAAAUCGCGGGGCUCAACCCCGCUCCGCCGUUGAAACUGUGUGCCUUGAGUGCGCGAAGGGUAGGCGGAAGGCGUGGUGUAGCGGUGAAAUGCAUAGAUAUCACGCAGAACUCCGAUCGCGAAGGCAGCCUACCGGCGCGCAACUGACGCUCAUGCACGAAAGCGUGGGUAUCGAACAGGAUUAGAUACCCCUGUAGUC
This 459-nucleotide ribosomal RNA is filed under the name uncultured bacterium. Its description in RNAcentral is "partial 16S ribosomal RNA". It matches the Rfam family "Bacterial small subunit ribosomal RNA", at positions 338 to 795 of the family's 1533-position model. The record is from RNAcentral.